CGAGGUGGCAAGCGUUGUUCGGAUUUAUUGGGCGUAAAGGGUCCGUAGGCGGCCUGGAAAGUUGGAUGUGAAAUCCCACAGCUUAACUGUGGAACUGCAUUCAAAACUUCUAGGCUCGAGUGUGAUAGGGGUAAAGGGAAUUCCCGGUGUAAGGGUGAAAUCUGCAGAGAUCGGGAGGAACACCAGUCGCGAAGGCGCUUUACUGGAUCACUACUGACGCUGAGGGACGAAAGCCAGGGGAGCAAACGGGAUUAGAUACCCGAGUAGUCC
This 270-nucleotide ribosomal RNA is filed under the name uncultured archaeon. RNAcentral describes it as "partial 16S ribosomal RNA". It matches the Rfam family "Bacterial small subunit ribosomal RNA", at positions 527 to 796 of the family's 1533-position model. The record is from RNAcentral.